GCCGGCAGUUGGGAAGGUACCAACUAGGUGACAAAAAAUCGGCUACAAGUCUCAUUGACAAUCUGAAUCUUUAAUUAAACUUCAGUGUUGAGGUAUCUAUUCCCUUCAUAGCAUUUAAAUAAUCUUCUCUUCUAGUCCUCAAAAUAUAAAGGAAAGAAAUUGUUCCCUACUCCACGUUCUCUAUUUUAUUUUUCAUUAUUCAAGAAGUAUCAUGACAAAUCA
Molecule: long non-coding RNA, 222 nt
Filed under: Elaeis guineensis (African oil palm)
Lineage: Eukaryota; Viridiplantae; Streptophyta; Magnoliopsida; Arecales; Arecaceae
Description: long non-coding RNA (EGUI_LNC009285)
Source: RNAcentral